UUGGAUUCUCCAGCUUGUAGUUAAGUAACGAAGAGAGGGAAAAAAAUUAUUAUACCAUAUCGGGAAAAAGAGUAACGUUUAAAAGAAUUAUGUUUAGUAUAUUGUGAUUUUAAUUAAAGGGAAAAGAUGAUUCUAGAAUUAACUUAUUAGUAUUACUGAAAAUGGUUGUAUGUUAUCUGAAUCGUGAUUGUCGAUAGACGAACUACGUGUGGCUUAAUCCCUCACGAAGGGGUACGUAGGUAGCCAGAGAUUUUACCUAGGUGUAGCGGUAGGCUAAAUUUUAUUUCUGGAACUUUAAUUCGG
RNAcentral lists this long non-coding RNA (303 nucleotides) under Prunus persica (peach). Its description in RNAcentral is "long non-coding RNA (PPER_LNC004830)". Lineage: Eukaryota; Viridiplantae; Streptophyta; Magnoliopsida; Rosales; Rosaceae. The record is from RNAcentral.